AGUAAACAAUUUAGUGAAAUUAACCUCAAUUAAUUGUAUUUUGUAUAUUUGUUAAGAAACAUAUAAAAAGGCACUAAAACAAAAAUAAUGUUUAUAAUUUAAAAAGGCAUUUUGCUUUCUUCCAUUAUUAAUAAAAUAAAAAUACACAGGAUUUGCAGCUAAUUACUAUUGGUGGAGUUCUUGUAUAGUUUACUGGUUCACCAUUACAAUUUCGGAAAUUAAAAGUUAUCAAAAAUAAUGAGCGGACUAUUGAAGGCUUUAUUCAUUAUAUUCUAUCAGCCCUAUUCAAACUUCAAUAACUUCUGAGUCAAUAAAAAUGAUCCGACUGUGGCAUUCAAGGCAAAAGGAUCAGAACAAAUUCGUCCGCUAACAAGUCGUAACGUAUACAAAGAUCCGCAGACUUCUAGAAUUGUCUAGAUUGUAAUCAUUCAUCACUUCCUCUCUGACCACAGAAGGAUCAAAUCAAGAAACGGCAUGGAGCCGGGGCUAAAAAGGGGGGUGGAGUCCGGCACUGUAGUGCCGUUGGUACCAAUCAUCAUACACGAAGG
Agrilus planipennis (emerald ash borer) is the source of this 548-nucleotide long non-coding RNA. RefSeq lists it as uncharacterized. The transcript has 3 exons. The record is from RefSeq and is a predicted model, not a curated record. Lineage: Eukaryota; Metazoa; Arthropoda; Insecta; Coleoptera; Buprestidae.